RNAcentral lists this ribosomal RNA (551 nucleotides) under Tricellula inaequalis. Its description in RNAcentral is "partial large subunit ribosomal RNA". It matches the Rfam family "Eukaryotic large subunit ribosomal RNA", at positions 53 to 607 of the family's 3401-position model. The record is from RNAcentral. Lineage: Eukaryota; Fungi; Ascomycota; Leotiomycetes; Helotiales; Calloriaceae.
GAGGAAAAGAAACCAACAGGGAUUGCCUCAGUAACGGCGAGUGAAGCGGCAAAAGCUCAAAUUUGAAAUCUGGCUCUUUCAGGGUCCGAGUUGUAAUUUGUAGAAGAUGCUUUGGGUGUGGCUCUGGUUUAAGUUCUUUGGAAUAUUACAUCAUAGAGGGUGAGAAUCCCGUAUGUGACCAGUCGCCGCGCCCGUGUAAAGCUCUUUCAACGAGUCGAGUUGUUUGGGAAUGCAGCUCAAAAUGGGAGGUAUAUUUCUUCUAAAGCUAAAUAUUGGCCAGAGACCGAUAGCGCACAAGUAGAGUGAUCGAAAGAUGAAAAGCACUUUGGAAAGAGAGUUAAACAGUACGUGAAAUUGUUGAAAGGGAAGCGCUUGCAACCAGACUUGCACGCAGUUGAUCAUCCGGUGUUCUCACCGGGGCACUCUGCUGCGUUCAGGCCAGCAUCGGUUUUGGUGGUUGGAUAAAGGCCUUGGGAAUGUAGCUUCUUUCGGGGAGUGUUAUAGCCCCUGGUGCAAUGCAGCCUACCGGGACCGAGGACCGCGCUUCGGCU